UGGGGAAUUUGGACAAUGGGCGCAAGCCUGAUCCAGCCAUGCCGCGUGCGGGAAGAAGGCCUUCGGGUUGUAAACCGCUUUUGUCAGGGAAGAAAUCUUCUGAGUUAAUACCUCGGGAGGAUGACGGUACCUGAAGAAUAAGCACCGGCUAACUACGUGCCAGCAGCCGCGGUAAUACGUAGGGUGCAAAGCGUUAAAUCGGAAAUUACUGGGCGUAAAAGCGUGCGCAGGCGGUUUUGUAAGACAGAGGUGAAAAUCCCCGGGCUCAACCUGGGAACUGCCUUUGUGACUGCAAGGCUUGAGUGCGGCAGAGGGGGGAUGGAAUUCCGCGUGUAGCAGUGAAAAUGCGUAGAUAUGCGGAGGAACACCGAUGGCGAAAGGCAAAUCCCCUGGGCCUGCACUGACGCUCAUGCACGAAAAGCGUGGGGAGCAAAACAGGAUUAGAAUACCCCUGGUAGUCCACGCUGUAAAACGAAUGUCGAUUUUGGAGGUUGUGCCCCUUGAGGCGUGGCUUCCGGAGCUAAACGCGUUAAAAUCGACCGCCUGGGGAGUAACGGCCGCAAAGGUUAAAAACUCAAAAGGAAAUUGACGGGGGUCAUAGCUU
Molecule: ribosomal RNA, 604 nt
Filed under: uncultured bacterium
Lineage: Bacteria
Description: partial 16S ribosomal RNA
Rfam family: Bacterial small subunit ribosomal RNA
Source: RNAcentral